RNAcentral lists this small RNA (381 nucleotides) under Pongo abelii (Sumatran orangutan). RNAcentral describes it as "processed transcript". The record is from RNAcentral. Lineage: Eukaryota; Metazoa; Chordata; Mammalia; Primates; Hominidae.
UUUAAAACUGGGAAGGAGGAAGACGAGGCCAGGGAGCCAGAGGGUCACCGAGGUAGAUUUCCAGCAGCACUAGCCCAGCUGAACACUUUCCAGCCUUGUUUUUCAUCAGCUUUGAGGAAAAGUAUAGCUUCUGCUCCAUUGCUAUUGAACUUUUUUUCAGUUGUGACAUCAAAAAAAUAACCAAGUUGAUCCGUACGUGAAACUUUCAUUGUACGUAGCGGAUGAGAAUAGAGAACUUGCUUUGGUCCAGACAAAAACAAUUAAAAAGACGCUGAACCCAAAAUGGAAUGAAGAAUUUUAUUUCAGGGUAAACCCAUCUAAUCACAGACUCCUAUUUGAAGUAUUUGAUGAAAAUAGACUGACACGAGACGACUUCCUGGG